GCACCGGCUAACUCCGUGCCAGCAGCCGCGGUAAUACGGAGGGUGCAAGCGUUGCUCGGAAAUUACUGGGCGUAAAGCGUACGCAGGCGGCUUUGUAAGUCGGGUGUGAAAGCCCCAGGCUCAACCUGGGAACUGCAUCCGAUACUGCAAGGCUUGAGUUCGGGAGAGGGAAGUGGAAUUCCUGGUGUAGAGGUGAAAUUCGUUGAUAUCAGGAGGAACACCGGCGGCGAAAGCGGCUUCCUGGCCCGAUACUGACGCUCAUGUACGAAAGCGUGGGGAGCAAACAGGAUUAGAUACCCUGGUAGUCCACGCCGUAAACGAUGAGUGCUAGAUGUUGGAGGUAUUCACCCCUUCAGUGUCGAAGCUAACGCAUUAAGCACUCCGCCUGGGGAGUACGGCCGCAAGGUUAAAACUCAAAGGAAUUGACGGGAG
This 432-nucleotide ribosomal RNA is filed under the name uncultured bacterium. Its description in RNAcentral is "bacterial SSU rRNA". It matches the Rfam family "Bacterial small subunit ribosomal RNA", at positions 490 to 919 of the family's 1533-position model. The record is from RNAcentral.